GAUGAACGCUAGCGAUAGGCUUAACACAUGCAAGUCGAGGGGCAGCACAAGGUAGCUUGCUAUCUGGGUGGCGACCGGCGCACGGGUGCGUAACGCGUAUGCAACUUGCCCUAUACAGGAGGAUAACCCGUCGAAAGACGGACUAAUACUGCGUAUGCUCACAACUUGGCAUCAAGUGGUGAGGAAAGAAAUUCGGUAUAGGAUAGGCAUGCGUCCCAUUAGCUUGUUGGUGAGGUAACGGCUCACCAAGGCAACGAUUGGUAGGGGAACUGAGAGGUUUAUCCCCCACACUGGUACUGGGACACGGACCAGACUCCUACGGGAGGCAGCAGUGAGGAAUAUUGGUCAAUGGGCGCGAGCCUGAACCAGCCAAGUCGCGUGAAGGAUGACUGUCUUAUGGAUUGUAAGCUUCUUUUAUACGGGAAUAACAAGAGUCACGUGUGACUCCCUGCAUGUACCGUAUGAAUAAGCAUCGGCUAACUCCGUG
This 487-nucleotide ribosomal RNA is filed under the name uncultured bacterium. Its description in RNAcentral is "partial 16S ribosomal RNA". It matches the Rfam family "Bacterial small subunit ribosomal RNA", at positions 28 to 507 of the family's 1533-position model. The record is from RNAcentral.